This 266-nucleotide signal recognition particle RNA is filed under the name Dictyoglomus turgidum. Its description in RNAcentral is "signal recognition particle sRNA large type". It matches the Rfam family "Bacterial large signal recognition particle RNA". From Rfam's summary of the family: The signal recognition particle (SRP) is a universally conserved ribonucleoprotein involved in the co-translational targeting of proteins to membranes. The record is from RNAcentral. Lineage: Bacteria; Pseudomonadati; Dictyoglomota; Dictyoglomia; Dictyoglomales; Dictyoglomaceae.
CUAUGCUUAGGCGGGGAGCUAGCGGUGCCCUGAACCUGCAAUCCGCUAUAGCAGGGCCGAAAGGCCACCCGAGGUUUGGUCCUGUGGGUAAGAAGGGAGAGAUGAAAGCGAUGAAGAUUAGGAGCUGUGCACUAAGAGGGCCUCAAACCCCGCCAGGUCCGAAAGGAAGCAACGGUAAGAGGUACCUCUUAGGUGCCGCAGUAAACCUAAUCGGAGCUUUUCUAUCUCUCUUCUCCCGGAGGAUCAAAUCGACGGUGGAGGCAUAG